UCCUGAUUCUGGGGGAGAGGGUAUC
RNAcentral lists this non-coding RNA (25 nucleotides) under Rattus norvegicus (Norway rat). Lineage: Eukaryota; Metazoa; Chordata; Mammalia; Rodentia; Muridae. The record is from RNAcentral.